This 499-nucleotide ribosomal RNA is filed under the name Metschnikowia sp. (in: budding yeasts & allies). RNAcentral describes it as "LSU rRNA". It matches the Rfam family "Eukaryotic large subunit ribosomal RNA", at positions 62 to 648 of the family's 3401-position model. The record is from RNAcentral. Lineage: Eukaryota; Fungi; Ascomycota; Pichiomycetes; Serinales; Metschnikowiaceae.
AAACCAACAGGGAUUGCCUCAGUAACGGCGAGUGAAGCGGCAAAAGCUCAAAUUUGAAAUCCCCCGGGAAUUGUAAUUUGAAGAGAUUUGGGUCCGGCCGGCAGGGGUUAAGUCCACUGGAAAGUGGCGCCACAGAGGGUGACAGCCCCGUGAACCCYCUCAACGCCUUCAUCCCAGAUCUCCAAGAGUCGAGUUGUUUGGGAAUGCAGCUCUAAGUGGGUGGUAAAUUCCAUCUAAAGCUAAAUACCGGCGAGAGACCGAUAGCGAACAAGUACAGUGAUGGAAAGAUGAAAAGCACUUUGAAAAGAGAGUGAAAAAGUACGUGAAAUUGUUGAAAGGGAAGGGCUUGCAAGCAGACACUUAACUGGGCCAGCAUCGGGGCGGCGGGAAACAAAACCACCGGGGAAUGUACCUUUCGAGGAUUAUAACCCCGGUCUCAAUUUCCUUGUUGCCCCGAGGCCUGCAAUCUAAGGAUGCUGGCGUAAUGGUUGCAAGUCGC